RNAcentral lists this ribosomal RNA (279 nucleotides) under uncultured bacterium. RNAcentral describes it as "partial 16S ribosomal RNA". It matches the Rfam family "Bacterial small subunit ribosomal RNA", at positions 506 to 784 of the family's 1533-position model. The record is from RNAcentral.
UGCCAGCCGCCGCGGUAAUACGGAGGGUGCGAGCGUUACUCGGAUUUACUGGGCGUAAAGAGCACGUAGGUGGUUUGGUAAGUUUGAUGUGAAAGCCCUGGACUCAAUCCAGGAUGUGCAUUGAAUACUGCCAGACUCGAGUACAGGAGAGGUGAGCGGAAUUCCAGGUGUAGAGGUGAAAUUCGUAGAUAUCUGGAGGAACAACGGAGGCGAAGGCGGCUCACUGGACUGUUACUGACACUGAGGUGCGAAAGCGUGGGGAGCGAACGGGAUUAGAAA